RNAcentral lists this long non-coding RNA (283 nucleotides) under Solanum tuberosum (potato). RNAcentral describes it as "long non-coding RNA (STUB_LNC008037)". Lineage: Eukaryota; Viridiplantae; Streptophyta; Magnoliopsida; Solanales; Solanaceae. The record is from RNAcentral.
GGCACACAAGAUAACAAAUGUCUAUUUAAGCCCCCCGUCCCACCUUGACCUCCACCUUGUUUAUGUUUAAAAGGUUGCUUACACUUAUUACAAAUAGCAAUAGAAUUUUCCUUAUCUAAAGUCAUAAAUUACCACACAACAGAAGUUUUAGGGCGUUGAUACUUCACCUUCUCCCUUGUAGGAGGUAUAAGGGGUAGGCGUCCACAAUUUUGCUCCGUUGAAUUUGUAGUUUCAUUUGGAACAUUUGUCACCGGACUAGUAGGUGUAUCUUCUAAUUCAUCUU